GAACGCACAUUGCGCCCUUUAGUAUUCUAGUGGGCAUGCCUGUUCGAGCGUCAUUUCAACCCUUAAGCUUAGCUUAGUAUUGGGAAUCUGCUUAACCGCAGCUCCUUAAAUCUAGUUGGCAGAGCACAGCUGUACUCUGAGCGUAGUAAUUCAUUAUCUCGCUUCUGGAAGACAGCCGUACGAUCGCCACAAACCUAUUUAUUUUUUAAUGGUUGACCUCGGAUCAGGUAGGAAUACCCGCUGAACUUAAG
Molecule: unclassified non-coding RNA, 251 nt
Filed under: uncultured Ascomycota
Lineage: Eukaryota; Fungi; Ascomycota
Description: sequence contains 5.8S rRNA gene
Source: RNAcentral